UCAACAGCCUUAGAUGGGCGUCCACGUUUC
RNAcentral lists this small RNA (30 nucleotides) under Bombyx mori (domestic silkworm). RNAcentral describes it as "ovarian small RNA-24572". The record is from RNAcentral. Lineage: Eukaryota; Metazoa; Arthropoda; Insecta; Lepidoptera; Bombycidae.